Molecule: ribosomal RNA, 495 nt
Filed under: Lactiplantibacillus plantarum
Lineage: Bacteria; Bacillati; Bacillota; Bacilli; Lactobacillales; Lactobacillaceae
Description: bacterial SSU rRNA
Rfam family: Bacterial small subunit ribosomal RNA
Source: RNAcentral
GAACGAACUCUGGUAUUGAUUGGUGCUUGCAUCAUGAUUUACAUUUGAGUGAGUGGCGAACUGGUGAGUAACACGUGGGAAACCUGCCCAGAAGMGGGGGAUAACACCUGGAAACAGAUGCUAAUACCGCAUAACAACUUGGACCGCAUGGUCCGAGYUUGAAAGAUGGCUUYGGCUAUCACUUYUGGAUGGUCCCGCGGCGUAUUAGCUAGAUGGUGRGGUAACGGCUCACCAUGGCAAUGAUACGUAGCCGACCUGAGAGGGUAAUCGGCCACAUUGGGACUGAGACACGGCCCAAACUCCUACGGGAGGCAGCAGUAGGGAAUCUUCCACAAUGGACGAAAGUCUGAUGGAGCAACGCCGCGUGAGUGAAGAAGGGUUUCGGCUCGUAAAACUCUGUUGUUAAAGAAGAACAUAUCUGAGAGUAACUGUUCAGGUAUUGACGGUAUUUAACCAGAAAGCCACGGCUAACUACGUGCCAGCMGCCGCGGUAAU